This 2088-nucleotide ribosomal RNA is filed under the name Triticum aestivum (bread wheat). Its description in RNAcentral is "partial small subunit ribosomal RNA". The record is from RNAcentral. Lineage: Eukaryota; Viridiplantae; Streptophyta; Magnoliopsida; Poales; Poaceae.
AUGGUCGGGUCGGGGUCGAAGCAUGCCGCGGGCGGGAGCGGCGGCGCAGGCGGAGGGGAGAGGCGCAAGUACCCGAUCCGCGCCGAGGACUACGAGCUGUACGAGGAGAUCGGCCAGGGUGUUAGCGCCAUCGUCUACCGCGCGCUCUGCAGGCCGCUCGGCGAGACCGUCGCCGUCAAGGUGCUCGACUUCGAGCGCACCAACAGCAACCUGAACAAUAUCAUGCGUGAAGCCCAGACAAUGAUUCUUAUAGACCAUCCUAAUGUUGUUAAGGCGAUCUGUUCAUUUGCAAAUAACCAAACGUUAUGGGUAGUUAUGCCGUACAUGGCUGGAGGAUCUUGUCUUCACAUAAUGAAAUCAGUCUAUCCGGAUGGUUUCGAGGAAGCUGUCAUUGCAACACUGCUCCGUGAAGUUCUAAGAGGAUUGGAAUAUCUUCAUCAUCAUGGGCAUAUACAUCGUGAUGUCAAGGCAGGAAAUAUCCUAGUUGAUUCUCGUGGUGGAGUUAAGCUUGGAGAUUUUGGGGUUUCUGCUUGCCUUUUUGAAUCUGGUGACAGACAGCGGGCUAGAAACACUUUCGUGGGAACUCCUUGCUGGAUGGCACCAGAGGUAAUGGAGCAACUACAUGGAUAUGAUUUCAAGGCAGACAUAUGGUCCUUUGGAAUUACUGCACUUGAACUUGCCCAUGGUCAUGCUCCUUUCUCAAAGUACCCUCCCAUGAAGGUCUUGCUUAUGACACUUCAAAAUGCUCCCCCUGGUCUUGAUUAUGAAAGAGAUAAGAAAUUCUCAAGGCAUUUCAAGCAAAUGGUAGCUAUGUGUUUGGUAAAAGAGCCUUCAAAAAGGCCGACUGCAACAAAAUUGCUCAAGCAAUCCUUUUUCAAGCAAGCUCGUUCCCAUGAUUACAUUGUUCGAAAGCUUUUGGAGGGAUUGCCUGGCCUUGGCGCCAGAUAUCAAGCUUUGAAGGAAAAGGAUGAACAUUUACUUGCUCAAAAGAAAAUGCCUGAUGGUAGAAAGGAAGAAAUCUCGCAGGAUGAAUACAAAAGGGGUAUCAGCAGCUGGAACUUUGACAUUGAUGACCUGAAGUCUCAAGCCUCACUGAUUUCAGAGUGUGAGGACACAAUAUCAUCUAAAGAUACAGAUAUAUCGUCUAUCUAUGACUUCGACACCAGCUUGCAGGAGCAAGCACACGAAGGAUCUCUUUUUUCAAUGAAGUAUGAUACUGACAUCGAAAAUGAUGUCAUGGCCAAUGAUAAGUCAGCUGUUUCAUCACCCGAGCAGUCUGUUUGUCUAUCAAGGGCAUCUCUAUGUGGAACUUCUAACGGAGUACUGGUAAAUGGCCAUGUCAGGAAACACAGCUCUAUGGAAAGCUGUGAUUUGGACUUGCAAGAGAAAGAUUUGGAUGCUAUUCCAACAAGCUCAUUUCAGGAAAGGAAGUGUUCUUUCAGUUCUUGCUCAUCAGAUGGUUUUCUUUCUUCCAAAGAGAGCUCUAAGCCACAAAUCAACAUUCAUAACCGUGAGAAGGGUAGUGGAGGGGUCUUGCAAGUAGCAGAUGAGCCAUCUCCUGAAGCUAUUUCUAGGGCACCUAAAUCAUUGGUAUCAAAUGUUGACGAACAUGAUGAUAGAUCAAAACCUCCACUUAUACAGCAAAGAGGCCGUUUUAAAGUUACACCUGGGAAUGUCGAGUUGGAUAAGGCUCACUCACCUGGCCUACAAAAGUCUCACAGCAUGCAGACAAUUUCUCAACUUUCUGCAUUAAGCAUACCAUCUUCAGCUGAGGCUGCUUCAAGCAUUAUUGGUGGCUCCUUGUACAUCCAGUUAUACAAUGUUUUGCAGACCAAUCUGCUUCAGAGGGAACAGAUACUUCAUGCGAUGAAGCAGUUAUACAUUUCUGAUUCUAUUUCACCUGUUCGGAUGCAUUCGUUAAGUCGUUCCCCAUCUCCAUCAUCAGCUUUAUCGGUAGAUAGAUCCAUGUUGGAAGCAGCACAAGAGAAGGAGAAGGAACUGGUCAAUGAAGUCCUGGAGCUACAAUGGCGGUUAUUGUGUGCACAGGAUGAGGUGCAGAGGCUCAAAGCAAAGGCAGCCCAGAUUUGA